CAAGUCGAACGCGGUUACCCCGCAAGGGGUAACUGAGUGGCAAACGGGUGAGUAACACGUGGGUGACCUGCCUUCGAGUGGGGGAUAACGUUUCGAAAGGAACGCUAAUACCGCAUGACAUCCUGCUUUUGAACAGGCGGAGAUCAAAGCCGGGGAUCGCAAGACCUGGCGCUUGAAGAGGGGCCCGCGUCCGAUUAGCUAGUUGGUGGGGUAACGGCUCACCAAGGCGACGAUCGGUAUCCGGCCUGAGAGGGCGGACGGACACACUGGGACUGAGACACGGCCCAGACUCCUACGGGAGGCAGCAGUGGGGAAUUGUUCGCAAUGGGCGCAAGCCUGACGACGCAACGCCGCGUGGAGGAUGAAGGUCUUCGGAUUGUAAACUCCUGUUGAUCGGGACGAACAACCAUCGGGAUAACACCCCGGAGGUCUGACGGUACCGAUUGAGGAAGCCCCGGCUAACUCUGUGCCAGCAGCCGCGGUAAUACAGAGGGGGCAAGCGUUGUUCGGAAUUACUGGGCGUAAAGGGCGCGUAGGCGGCCGCCUAAGUCAGACGUGAAAUCCCUCGGCUCAACCGGGGAACUGCGUCUGAUACUGGGUGGCUUGAAUCCGGGAGAGGGAUGCGGAAUUCCAGGUGUAGCGGUGAAAUGCGUAGAUAUCUGGAGGAACACCGGUGGCGAAGGCGGCAUCCUGGACCGGUAUUGACGCUGAGGCGCGAAAGCCAGGGGAGCAAACGGGAUUAGAUACCCCGGUAGUCCUGGCCCUAAACGAUGAGUGCUUGGUGUGGCGGGUAUCGAUCCCUGCCGUGCCGAAGCUAACGCAUUAAGCACUCCGCCUGGGGAGUACGGUCGCAAGGCUGAAACUCGAAGGAAUUGACGGGGGCCCGCACAAGCGGUGGA
This 899-nucleotide ribosomal RNA is filed under the name uncultured Acidobacteriota bacterium. Its description in RNAcentral is "bacterial SSU rRNA". It matches the Rfam family "Bacterial small subunit ribosomal RNA", at positions 58 to 936 of the family's 1533-position model. Lineage: Bacteria; Pseudomonadati; Acidobacteriota. The record is from RNAcentral.